CUACACGCAAGUCUUUAGAUCUCAGCCCCAUACACAGAGAACUUGAAACUAGAGCAGUUGCAGAAGACCGGACCUGUUCGUCAUGGCACUCAAUUCAUUCUCAGCUUCAGGUACUCAAAACAACAUUGAAGAGCAGAAGGAUGAAGACCUGGAGCUACCAUUGUUUGACUAGUCAACAAUAGAGACUGCUACCAAUAAAUUUUCAAUUAAUAAUAAACUUGGAGAAGGUGGUUUUGGAUCUGUGUACGAGGGUACACUACUAGAUGGAAAAGAAAUUGCAGUGAAGUGGCUCUCAAGAAGUUAUGGACAAGGAAUGAAAGAGUUCAAAAAUGAAGUGAUACUGAUUGCAAAACUUCAGCACCGCAAUCUUGUAAAGCUUCUUCACAAGUUUCAUUUGCUCUUACUCUCUUAAUGAUGGGAACUAUUCGUGGACAAGGGGGAAAAUCUUAGUGAUAUUUCAUCUUCAACAACAAUGUAUUUUGGAAGGCAGCCUUGUUUUUUGUAAUCCAAGAAUUUACUUUGGUAUGAAAUGUAUUUUGCUUGGAAUGUAAAGAACAUCUUGCUAUGAAUGUAAAGUUUUAAUAUUUUUGAUUGAGUUGUGGAUUUGUUCACUUUA
Rosa chinensis is the source of this 616-nucleotide long non-coding RNA. RefSeq lists it as uncharacterized. The transcript has 4 exons. The record is from RefSeq and is a predicted model, not a curated record. Lineage: Eukaryota; Viridiplantae; Streptophyta; Magnoliopsida; Rosales; Rosaceae.